Molecule: small RNA, 850 nt
Filed under: Vigna angularis var. angularis
Lineage: Eukaryota; Viridiplantae; Streptophyta; Magnoliopsida; Fabales; Fabaceae
Description: Non-protein coding transcript
Source: RNAcentral
GUGAUUUUGAAAUCCUUUAAACGUCUUUUUAUUAUCGAUUACACAACCAAAGGAAGAUGGUGCGAAACAGUACGACGAAAGAGGAGAGGGCGAAAUAGUGCAACCCACUGCGAGUGCAAAACAGUGUGGUCGACGGCUGACGGAAAUCGCGAGCGACUUAGAGCAAAGUGCUGGGUGAAUCGCAGGAGAUGAAGGAAGAAGACAAGCUUCGUAUGUGCGCCUAAAUCAGAAAACCCUAAUCUGUUGUCACACGUAGGUGCUUUGCUGAGGAGGUUUUUGCCGGAUCUUGUUAAUUACCAAAUUAGUCCAGCUCCGCUCUGUCCGAUUGUCGUUUGUGAUCGCGCUUGGUCGGUUGCUGAUCGUGGUCGUCGUCGCUCAUUUAGUCACCGUUCGUGAUCGAAAGGUACAGACUCUAAAGAUAAAUUCCUAGAAUGCCUAGCUAAUCUAUGAAAAGUCCUAUCAUUUUUAGGAUCAAAGGAUGGUAAUGGUCCAGGAUUGCCCCUAGUCAUGCAUUUAGUCUACACAUAUAAAAAAAAGUCAACACAAUGAAACAUAUGGGGAUAAACUGCAAGUAUAUGCAAACCUUAUCCAAAUGAACUGAAAUUGUGUGAUCAACACCCUAAAAUCAUGAAAAGAUAGCACAAAAAAUUUCAAAGCAAAUUCAAAGUAUAACUAUGUCAACCAAUGCAAGAAAAUAUGAAAAAUAGGGAAAAUAAAACUUCAAAAAUAAAAAAGAAAUAAAAAACAACCUCUUUUUAUAAUUGGAGGUAGGGGCAAUUGGCAUAGAAGCUGGAAUGGAUUACUUGUGUUUUUCUAUCUAAAAAGCAUAUAUAAUACGUCCAAUUCUGAC